RNAcentral lists this ribosomal RNA (1462 nucleotides) under metagenome. RNAcentral describes it as "bacterial SSU rRNA". It matches the Rfam family "Bacterial small subunit ribosomal RNA". The record is from RNAcentral.
AGAGUUUGAUCCUGGCUCAGGAUGAACGCUGGCGGCGUGCCUAAUACAUGCAAGUCGAACGAAGGAUACAGCAAUGUGUUCUUAGUGGCGAACGGGUGAGUAACGCGUUGGUGACCUGCCCCGAAGAGAGGGAUAACAGAUCGAAAGGUCUGCUAAUACCUCAUAAGAUAACUGGAGUUAGAGACCAGUUAUGAAAGCGGAGAAAUCCGGCUUUGGGAGGGGCCUGCGUCCCAUCAGCUAGUUGGUGAGGUAAAAGCCCACCAAGGCGAUGACGGGUAGGGGACCUGAGAGGGUGACCCCCCACAAUGGAACUGAAACACGGUCCAUACACCUACGGGUGGCAGCAGUAGGGGAUAUUGCUUAAUGGGCGAAAGCCUGAAGCAGCAACGCCGCGUGCGCGAAGAAGGCCUUCGGGUUGUAAAGCGCUUUUAGAGAGGAUGAGGAAGGACAGUACCCUCAGAAUAAGUCUCGGCUAACUACGUGCCAGCAGCCCGGUAAAACGUAGGAGACGAGCGUUAUCCGGAUUUACUGGGCGUAAAGCGCGUGCAGGCGGCACGGAAAGUUGGAUGUGAAAGCUCCCGGCUUAACUGGGAGAGGUCGUUCAAAACUACCGAGCUAGAGUGUGAGAAAGGGAAGUGGAAUUCCGGGUGUAGUGGUGAAAUGCGUAGAUAUCCGGAGGAACACCAGUGGCGAAAGCGGCUUUCUGGCUCACAACUGACGCUCAGACGCGAAAGCUAGGGUAGCAAACGGGAUUAGAGACCCCGGUAGUCCUAGCCGUAAACGAUGUAGACUUGGCGUCGGGAGGUUUAAAUCUCUCGGUGCCGGAGCAAACGCGAUAAGUCUACCGCCUGGGGACUACGGCCGCAAGGUUAAAACUCAAAGGAAUUGACGGGGGCCCGCACAAGCAGCGGAGCGUGUGGUUUAAUUCGAUUCUACACGAAGAACCUUACCAGGGUUUGACAUGCUAGUGGUAGAGAAGCGAAAGCAGAUCGACCCUUCGGGGAGCUAGCACAGGUGCUGCAUGGCUGUCGUCAGCUCGUGUCGUGAGAUGUUCGGUUAAGUCCGCUAACGAGCGCAACCCUCGCCGUGUGUUAUACGUGUCACGCGGGACCGCCGGUCUUAAGCCGGAGGAAGGUGGGGAUGACGUCAAGUCAGCAUGGCCUUUAUAUCCUGGGCUACACACACGCUACAAUGGUCAGUAGAGUAGGUAGCGAAGCCGCGAGGUGGAGCCAAUCCUCAAAGCUGGCCUCAGUUCAGAUCGUAGGCUGCAACUCGCCUGCGUGAAGCUGGAGUUGCUAGUAACCGCAGGUCAGCUAUACUGCGGUGAAUACGUUCCCGGGCCUUGUACACACCGCCCGUCACGUCAUGGGAGCUGGCAACACCUGAAGCCGGUAUCCUAACCCGCAAGGGAGGGAGCCGUCGAAGGUGGGGUUGGUAACUGGGACGAAGUCGAAACAAGGUA